UACGUAGGGUGCAAGCGUUGUUCGGAAUCAUUGGGCGUAAAGCGCGUGUAGGCGGUUGGUUAAGUCGGAUGUGAAAUCCCUCGGCUCAACCGAGGAAGUGCAUUCGAAACUAGCCAGCUAGAGAGUGGUAGAGGAAGGUGGAAUUCCUAGUGUAGAGGUGAAAUUCGUAGAUAUUAGGAGGAAUACCGGCGGCGAAGGCGGCCUUCUGGACCAAUUCUGACGCUGAGACGCGAAAGCGUGGGGAGCAAACAGG
Molecule: ribosomal RNA, 253 nt
Filed under: uncultured bacterium
Lineage: Bacteria
Description: partial 16S ribosomal RNA
Rfam family: Bacterial small subunit ribosomal RNA
Source: RNAcentral